UCCAGACUCCUACGGGAGGCAGCAGUGGGGGAUAUUGCACAAUGGGGGGAACCCUGAUGCAGCGACGCCGCGUGGGUGAAGGAGCGUUUCGGCGCGUAAAGCCCUAUCGGCAGGGAAGAAGGAGGACGGUACCUGACUAAGAAGCCCCGGCUAACUACGUGCCAGCAGCCGCGGUAAUACGUAGGGGGCAAGCGUUAUCCGGAUUUACUGGGUGUAAAGGGGGCGCAGACGGCAGCGCAAGCCAGGAGUGAAAGCCCGGGGCCAAACCCCGGGACUGCUCUUGGAACUGCGCGGCUGGAGUGCAGGAGGGGCAGGCGGAAUUCCUAGUGUAGCGGUGAAAUGCGUAGAUAUUAGGAGGAACACCGGCGGCGAAGGCGGCCUGCUGGACCGUAACUGACGUUGAGGCUCGAAAGCGUGGGGAGCAAACAGGAUUAGAUACCCGUGUA
RNAcentral lists this ribosomal RNA (446 nucleotides) under uncultured bacterium. RNAcentral describes it as "partial 16S ribosomal RNA". It matches the Rfam family "Bacterial small subunit ribosomal RNA", at positions 330 to 792 of the family's 1533-position model. The record is from RNAcentral.